CCAGAACGAUAUGCUGGCACCUUUACGUAGUAUUCUGGAUGAGUAACAGAAGGCGUACUUUCUGUGAAACCAAGACCAGC
RNAcentral lists this non-coding RNA (80 nucleotides) under unclassified sequences. The record is from RNAcentral.